This 253-nucleotide ribosomal RNA is filed under the name uncultured bacterium. RNAcentral describes it as "partial 16S ribosomal RNA". It matches the Rfam family "Bacterial small subunit ribosomal RNA", at positions 524 to 776 of the family's 1533-position model. The record is from RNAcentral.
GACGUAGGGCGCGAGCGUUGUCCGGAUUUAUUGGGCGUAAAGAGCUCGUAGGCGGCUUGUCGCGUCGUCCGUGAAAACUUGGGGCUCAACCCCAAGCUUGCGGUCGAUACGGGCAGGCUCGAGUUCGGUAGGGGAGACUGGAAUUCCUAGUGUAGCGGUGAAAUGCGCAGAUAUCAGGAGGAACACCGGUGGCGAAGGCGGGUCUCUGGGCCGAUAUUGACGCUGAGGAGCGAAAGCGUGGGGAGCGAACAGG